UACGUAGGGGGCUAGCGUUGUCCGGAUUUAUUGGGCGUAAAGAGCGUGUAGGCGGCCAGGUAGGUCCGGUGUGAAAACUCGAGGCUUAACCUCGAGAUGUCAUCGGAAACCAUCUGACUAGAGUCCGGAAGAGGAGAGUGGAAUUCCUGGUGUAGCGGUGAAAUGCGCAGAUAUCAGGAAGAACACCUAUGGCGAAAGCAGCUCUCUGGGACGGUACUGACGCUGAGACGCGAAAGCGUGGGGAGCGAACAGG
RNAcentral lists this ribosomal RNA (253 nucleotides) under uncultured bacterium. Its description in RNAcentral is "partial 16S ribosomal RNA". It matches the Rfam family "Bacterial small subunit ribosomal RNA", at positions 524 to 776 of the family's 1533-position model. The record is from RNAcentral.